AGACGGUGGGCACGCAGCCGGUACGAA
Molecule: small RNA, 27 nt
Filed under: Bombyx mori (domestic silkworm)
Lineage: Eukaryota; Metazoa; Arthropoda; Insecta; Lepidoptera; Bombycidae
Description: ovarian small RNA-11880
Source: RNAcentral